GGAUUGUAGCUCAGCGGUAGAGUGCUUGUCUAGCAUGUGCGAGGUACUGGGUUCGAUCCUCAGCACCA
RNAcentral lists this transfer RNA (68 nucleotides) under Marmota monax (woodchuck). RNAcentral describes it as "tRNA.Ala". The record is from RNAcentral. Lineage: Eukaryota; Metazoa; Chordata; Mammalia; Rodentia; Sciuridae.